RNAcentral lists this ribosomal RNA (412 nucleotides) under uncultured bacterium. RNAcentral describes it as "bacterial SSU rRNA". It matches the Rfam family "Bacterial small subunit ribosomal RNA", at positions 505 to 916 of the family's 1533-position model. The record is from RNAcentral.
GUGCCAGCCGCCGUGGUAAUACGUAGGGUGCGAGCGUUAAUCGGAAUUACUGGGCGUAAAGCGUGCGCAGGCGGUUUUGUAAGACAGGUGUGAAAUCCCCGGGCUUAACCUGGGAACUGCAUUUGUGACUGCAAGGCUAGAGUACGGCAGAGGGGGGUAGAAUUCCACGUGUAGCAGUGAAAUGCGUAGAGAUGUGGAGGAAUACCGAUGGCGAAGGCAGCCCCCUGGGUCGAUACUGACGCUCAUGCACGAAAGCGUGGGGAGCAAACAGGAUUAGAUACCCUGGUAGUCCACGCUGUAAACGAUGGGUGCCAGAUGUCGGGGGUCUUGGACUUUCGGUGUCGAAGUUAACGCGUUAAGCACCCCGCCUGGGGAGUACGGCCGCAAGGUUAAAACUCAAAUGAAUUGGCGG